GAUGAACGCUGGCGGCGUGCCUAAUACAUGCAAGUCGAGCGAACGGACGAGAAGCUUGCUUCUCUGAUGUUAGCGGCGGACGGGUGAGUAACACGUGGAUAACCUACCUAUAAGACUGGGAUAACUUCGGGAAACCGGAGCUAAUACCGGAUAAUAUUUUGAACCGCAUGGUUCAAAAGUGAAAGACGGUCUUGCUGUCACUUAUAGAUGGAUCCGCGCUGCAUUAGCUAGUUGGUAAGGUAACGGCUUACCAAGGCAACGAUGCAUAGCCGACCUGAGAGGGUGAUCUGCCACACUGGAACUGGGACACGGUCCAGACUCCUACGGGAGGCAGCAGUAGGGAAUCUUCCGCAAUGAGCGAAAGCCUGACGGAGCAACGCCGCGUGAGUGAUGAAGGUCUUCGGAUCGUAAAACACUGUUAGUAGGGAAGAACAAAUGUGUGAGUAACUGUGCACAUCUUGACGGUACCUAAUCAGAAAGCCACGGCUAACUACGUG
Molecule: ribosomal RNA, 497 nt
Filed under: uncultured bacterium
Lineage: Bacteria
Description: partial 16S ribosomal RNA
Rfam family: Bacterial small subunit ribosomal RNA
Source: RNAcentral